CGGAGGAGCAUGUGGUUUAAUUCGAUGAUACGCGAGGAACCUUACCUGGGCGUCGAACGUAAGAUGACUGUAGGUGAAAGCUUACAUCUCUUCGGAGCAUUUUACGAGGUGCUGCAUGGUUGUCGUCAGCUCGUGCCGUGAGGUGUCGGGUUAAGUCCCAUAACGAGCGCAACCCUACCUUUAGUUGCCAUCAGGUAAUGCUGGGGACUCUAAAGGAACUGCCUACGCAAGUAGUGAGGAAGGCGGGGAUGACGUCAAAUCAGCACGGCCCUUACGUCCAGGGCUACACACGUGCUACAAUGGCCGAUACAGAGGGCAGCUACCUGGUGACAGGAUGCAAAUCUCCAAAGUCGGUCUCAGUUCGGAUCGGAGUCUGCAACCCGACUCCGUGAAGUUGGAUUCGCUAGUAAUCGCGCAUCAGCCAUGGCGCGGUGAAUACGUUCCCGGGCCUU
RNAcentral lists this ribosomal RNA (452 nucleotides) under uncultured Sphingobacteriales bacterium. RNAcentral's name for it is "bacterial SSU rRNA". It matches the Rfam family "Bacterial small subunit ribosomal RNA", at positions 930 to 1382 of the family's 1533-position model. The record is from RNAcentral. Lineage: Bacteria; Pseudomonadati; Bacteroidota; Sphingobacteriia; Sphingobacteriales.